Molecule: unclassified non-coding RNA, 263 nt
Filed under: plant metagenome
Description: partial contains small subunit ribosomal RNA, internal transcribed spacer 1, and 5.8S ribosomal RNA
Source: RNAcentral
UUUCCGUGGGUGAACCUGCGGAAGGAUCAUUAUUGUAUAACCGAGGUGCGUGGGCUGUCGCUGACCCGAAAGGUCGUGCACGCCCGAGUGCCCUCACACACAUCCAUCUCACCCCUAUGUGCACCACCGCGUGGGUCCCCCUUUGGCUUGUUCGGAGGGGGGCUUACGUUUUCACACAAACUUUGUAUGCAGUGUAGAAUGUAUUUUUUGUUUUUGCGAUCACGCAAUCAAUACAACUUUCAACAACGGAUCUCUUGGCUCUC